CCUACGGGCGGCAGCAGUGAGGAAUAUUGGUCAAUGGACGAGAGUCUGAACCAGCCAAGUAGCGUGAAGGAUGACUGCCCUAUGGGUUGUAAACUUCUUUUAUAUGGGAAUAAAAUGUUCCACGUGUGGGAUUUUGUCUGUACCAUAUGAAUAAGGAUCGGCUAACUCCGUGCCAGCAGCCGCGGUAAUACGGAGGAUCCGAGCGUUAUCCGGAUUUAUUGGGUUUAAAGGGAGCGUAGGUGGAUUGUUAAGUCAGUUGUGAAAGUUUGCGGCUCAACCGUAAAAUUGCAGUUGAAACUGGCAGUCUUGAGUACAGUAGGGGUGGGCGGAAUUCGUGGUGUAGCGGUGAAAUGCUUAGAUAUCACGAAGAACUCCGAUUGCGAAGGCAGUUCACUGGACUGCAACUGACACUGAGGCUCGAAAGUGUGGGUAUCAAACAGGAUUAGAUACCCUGGUAGUC
RNAcentral lists this ribosomal RNA (460 nucleotides) under uncultured bacterium. Its description in RNAcentral is "partial 16S ribosomal RNA". It matches the Rfam family "Bacterial small subunit ribosomal RNA", at positions 338 to 795 of the family's 1533-position model. The record is from RNAcentral.